GAACUGCGAUAAGUAAUGUGAAUUGCAGAAUUCAGUGAAUCAUCGAGUCUUUGAACGCACAUUGCGCCCCCUGGCAUUCCGGGGGGCAUGCCUGUCCGAGCGUCAUUGCUGCCCUUCAAGCCCGGUUUGUGUGUUGGGUCGUCGUCCCCUCCGGGGGACGGGCCCGAAAGGCAGCGGCGGCACCGCGUCCGGUCCUCGAGCGUAUGGGGCUUUGUCACCCGCUCGAUAAGGACCGGCCGGGCGCCAGCCGGCGUCUCCAACCUUUUUUUCUCAGGUUGACCUCGGAUCAGGUAGGGAUACCCGCUGAACUUAAGC
Molecule: unclassified non-coding RNA, 315 nt
Filed under: plant metagenome
Description: partial contains 5.8S ribosomal RNA, internal transcribed spacer 2, and large subunit ribosomal RNA
Rfam family: 5.8S ribosomal RNA (bases 1-105)
Source: RNAcentral